GGUAUGGGAUGAGCUUGCGUCCGAUUAGCUAGUUGGUGGGGCAACGGCCCACCAAGGCGACGAUCGGUAGCCGGCCUGAGAGGGUGAUCGGCCACAUUGGGACUGAGAUACGGCCCAGACUCCUACGGGAGGCAGCAGUAGGGAAUAUUGCACAAUGGGGGAAACCCUGAUGCAGCAACGCCACGUGUGGGAAGAAGCAUUUCGGUGUGUAAACCACUGUCAUGAGGGAAUAAGGCCCGCCUUCGGACGGGAUUGAAUGUACCUUGAGAGGAAGCACCGGCAAACUUCGUGCCAGCAGCCGCGGUAAUACGAGGGGUGCAAGCGUUGUUCGGAAUUACUGGGCGUAAAGGGAGCGUAGGCGGAGAUUCAAGCGGAUUGUACAAUCCCGGGGCCCAACCCCGGCUCUGCAGUCCGAACUGGAUCUCUUGGAUAGUUCAGGGGCAGGC
RNAcentral lists this ribosomal RNA (446 nucleotides) under uncultured bacterium. RNAcentral describes it as "bacterial SSU rRNA". It matches the Rfam family "Bacterial small subunit ribosomal RNA", at positions 217 to 662 of the family's 1533-position model. The record is from RNAcentral.